RNAcentral lists this long non-coding RNA (517 nucleotides) under Podarcis lilfordi (Lilford's wall lizard). Lineage: Eukaryota; Metazoa; Chordata; Lepidosauria; Squamata; Lacertidae. The record is from RNAcentral.
AAGGGAAGUUCUCUUUCUGCAGUUCUCUUACUGCACAUAACUGUGGCAUUAUGGGACUAUGAGAACUAUUGCUUCUUUUCUCUUGCAUUCUGGGAAGUCUCGCUCAUAAUCUUUUCUCUGCUUCUGCACAAGAGUCUGAGAAUGUUCUGAACAGUUCCCAUUGAGUUCAUGAAACAGUGUAUCCUGACCUGUUCUUAAUGCAUUGCUGACCACAUCUACGGAACGUGAUUGUUGUAUUCUUUCAUGUUAUGUUCCUUCAAUAUCAAUCUUUAGUUAUAAUUUAAUUAGGAGGUUUCAUGCCUGUCUAGUUCCAGCUCCGUUUCUCAGCCUUUGAUCUAUCAGUGAUAAAUGCUCAUAUGUAAUUCCCGCCUUGUACCUAUGUUAACCAAUCAGCAACAAGAUGCUUUGUGUUUGUAUCAACCAAUCAGCCACAAGCACACCUGUGGCAAUGUUUGUAAUAUUCAAUAAAAGAGAGUUCCCGGGGCUUGCCCCGGCAGACGCCUCUCAUAUGACACCU